GAUGAACGCUGGCGGCGUGCCUAAUACAUGCAAGUCGAGCGAACGGACGAGAAGCUUGCUUCUCUGAUGUUAGCGGCGGACGGGUGAGUAACACGUGGAUAACCUACCUAUAAGACUGGGAUAACUUCGGGAAACCGGAGCUAAUACCGGAUGAUAUUUUGAACCGCAUGGUUCAAAAGUGAAAGACGGUCUUGCUGUCACUUAUAGAUGGAUCCGCGCUGCAUUAGCUAGUUGGUAAGGUAACGGCUUACCAAGGCAACGAUGCAUAGCCGACCUGAGAGGGUGAUCGGACACACUGGAACUGAGACACGAUCCAGACUCCUACGGGAGGCAGCGGUAGGGAAUCUUCCGCAAUGGGCGAAAGCCUGACGGAGCAACGCCGCGUGAGUGAUGAAGGUCUUCGGAUCGUAAAACUCUGUUAUUAGGGAAGAACAUAUGUGUAAGUAACUGUGCACAUCUUGACGGUACCUAAUCAGAAAGCCACGGCUAACUACGU
RNAcentral lists this ribosomal RNA (496 nucleotides) under uncultured bacterium. RNAcentral's name for it is "partial 16S ribosomal RNA". It matches the Rfam family "Bacterial small subunit ribosomal RNA", at positions 28 to 506 of the family's 1533-position model. The record is from RNAcentral.